Molecule: long non-coding RNA, 1063 nt
Organism: Dreissena polymorpha
Lineage: Eukaryota; Metazoa; Mollusca; Bivalvia; Myida; Dreissenidae
Exons: 4
Source: RefSeq, a predicted model, not a curated record
CGUCAUCGUACUUAACAAUAAAUGUAGCUGUACUGCAUUCGUUCCAGGAAGGAAGUAAGUCGCAUACAAAAGAGAAAGAGGAAAUUACAUCUCAUAUGGAAGAGGAAGUUACACGUUUCCCCAAAACGCAGGUAUCAACUAAACAAAGCAAUCAAUGGCAAGACCGUUCGAGUGGGUGAAAUUAGAUGCCUUCCAAUGUCCGGUCACAGGAUGUCCUUCAAGGAAACCGAUUGCAUGGGAAUGCUCACGUUGCCAUAGCGCCAUGUUUUUGAAUAGCCUGGGCAAAUGGUGUGUGAAAGUGGAAAUCACUUUGGUAACAUCUGUGAAUGGAACUGGAACUGCGGCAGUUCCUAUCACAAAGGUCGGUUCCAGAGGGCGGACAUGGAGAGCUUUACGUUCGCUUUCUCUCAGGCAGUCCAGCUCAUGGGAAAGAUGGGAAGCCUCUGGGUGGCGCAUCUUAUGACGGAAAUAGAAAAGCAGUACACACGGCAGAAUGAUGGUUAUAAUUAUAACCGACGGGAUGAUGGUUAUUACUAUGAUCGGCGUGAUGAUGAUUAUUAUUAUAGCCGACGGAAUGAUGGUUAUUAUUAUGACAGACGGUAAGGUGAUGAUUAUUAUGAUUAUAGGUAGAGCCAUUGUCGUGAUUCACUAUUUUAGCCAUGUUUUAACUGGCGCUUCAUUAUUUAUUAGAACACGUUUUCCCCUUUAAAAAAAUAACGAACGUACUUUCAAAUACACAUACAAUGAAAUUUGAGUAUUGUAUAAGUUUAAUGUUUUUCAUGAUUUUGCACGUGACUCAUUUAAUUGCAUCUUUUAAGCUUUGUUAACUAUUAAAAAAUAUAUUUUGUAUAUUUGGUUUGUACUUUUGUUUGCCUUUUAAAUAAAAAUAAUACAUGUAUAAUAACUAUCAGCGAUUUGAUGGUAACAGUCUGACCGUGUACGUGUAGUAAAUUGAUGAAUAUCGUAUAAAAUGGAUAUGCUAUUGAUUGGUUGAAUGCAUGCUUGCUUUGGUUUCGAUAUAUUUUGUUGGACCAUUCAUUCAAAUAAAACAUAACAAUUGAUA